GGGCUUCUGACUUCGCAGCGAGCCAACCCAUGGAAAGCAAGGGUCGGCCAGCUACUACUGAGCCUUUAAAACAGUGAGAAGAGAAGGGAGAGAGAUGUCUCCGGGAAAAAUUCUGAGCUGUCCAGAGUGUGCAGUGCCCUUGUUAAGUGAGCUCAUGGCCAUUCGUGCUCUGCAAGUUCUUGCCACAGACCUGUCCCUUCCACCUCCUAUCCUUAAGGAGUUUCUAAAGCUCUCACAGCUGUGCCAGCACUGUCACUCCUGCAAAGCACGUUUCAUUUGCUGCCCCUGUUUAUCGGCACAACGCGGCCCCUGUCGGGAGCACUCACCACCUCCUUUCUGAGGAGCCGCUGCACUCCUUACGCUGGGAGCCAAGCCCCCAAGGUUCUUUCCACCCCCGCUCUCGCUCCCAACUUUUGCCGAAGAACCCAGUUUAGCAGCUCCAGCCUCAGCCUUUAUUUUCAUGCAAAGUGAAAGAGAUCAGCGCUGGGGACUGGCUGAAGCGUAGAUAAAAGCCCCAGCUGUGAUUUCUCGGGGUGUCAGUUUCACCUCCAGCAGUAAAGCAAACUGUCCUUGUGCCUGAGGGAAAUUACGGAGCCUCACACUUUCAUCCAGAGAGGGACAAAGGGGAGGUCAGGUGCUGCAUCUGACAGAAGUGGGGACGUGUGAAAUGUGAUUAACCCAGGAAGAAGCCAGACAGAGCCCGGCUGGGGCCUCCGCUGCCCCUGUGUGUUUCCCAGGGUCAGGAGCAGGAGGAAAAAGGAGGGAGGCAAUUUUCAAGACAGGCACUGAUGCUUUAAAAGGAUUCUUCACAGGGCAUGAGAGAGCCAUACCUAGAAUGAAUUAUGGAUCCAUCCAGUGUCCCAUGCAUCCUGUACGUCAAGGU
This is a long non-coding RNA of Phyllostomus discolor (pale spear-nosed bat), 883 nucleotides long. RefSeq lists it as uncharacterized. The transcript is spliced from 3 exons. Lineage: Eukaryota; Metazoa; Chordata; Mammalia; Chiroptera; Phyllostomidae. The record is from RefSeq and is a predicted model, not a curated record.